Molecule: transfer RNA, 73 nt
Filed under: Stegodyphus mimosarum
Lineage: Eukaryota; Metazoa; Arthropoda; Arachnida; Araneae; Eresidae
Rfam family: tRNA
About the family: Transfer RNA (tRNA) molecules are approximately 80 nucleotides in length.
Source: Rfam by way of RNAcentral
GCCUUCGUGGUGUAAUGGUCAGCACACUCGGCGCGUAUUCGAGAGGUCCGAGGUUCGAGUCCCGGUGAGGGCA